Mauremys reevesii (Reeves's turtle) is the source of this 351-nucleotide long non-coding RNA. RefSeq lists it as uncharacterized. The record is from RefSeq and is a predicted model, not a curated record. The transcript is spliced from 2 exons. NCBI's taxonomy places the organism in Eukaryota, Metazoa, Chordata, Testudines, Geoemydidae.
GAGCAGCCUGAGGCAGAAGCCUCCAGCUCGCAUGAUAUUCCAGGUUGUUUGCAGGAGUCACAAAAUGGGAGGUGUUGAAAGAAGGUCUAAUGCUUCCAAUCUCAUUUCACAAGAUGAUACUUGAAGCCCAUGAAGUUAUAACCUACUUAAUGAGCGCAAGCGACACAUUUGUUUUCUCUACAUGAAUUAGUUCUUAAAUCAUUCUCUCUGGCUAGGAAAAGGAGAAGUUGCAUGUUUAGAAAGAGUUGGCUAUGUAACCCCAAGGGGAAGAUACAGAUAGUCUGGAAGCUGUUUUUUGUACUUUACUCCAAUUUUUGCUUGUUAAUGUCUAUAAAACUUUCAUGAAUUGUU